This 950-nucleotide ribosomal RNA is filed under the name Chytridium lagenaria. RNAcentral describes it as "eukaryotic LSU rRNA". It matches the Rfam family "Eukaryotic large subunit ribosomal RNA", at positions 55 to 946 of the family's 3401-position model. The record is from RNAcentral. Lineage: Eukaryota; Fungi; Chytridiomycota; Chytridiomycetes; Chytridiales; Chytridiaceae.
GGAGAAGACUACAGGGAUUCCCCUAGUAACGGCGAGUGAAGCGGGAUGAGCUCAACUUUGAAAUCUCGCGGGUUUCCCGUGCGAAUUGUAGUCUAAAGAAGCGCUUUCGGGGGCAGCCUGGGUAAAAGUCCUUUGGAAGAAGGCAUCAGAGAGGGUGAGAAUCCCGUACCUGACCCGGUGUCUGCUCCUAUGUGAUGCGUCUUCCUAGAGUCGGAUAGCUUGGGAAUGCUGUCCAAAUCGGGUGGUAAAUACCAUCUAAGGCUAAAUAUUGGCGAGAGACCGAUAGCGAACAAGUACCGUGAGGGAAAGAUGAAAAGAACUUUGAAAAGAGAGUUAAACAGUACGUGAAAUUGUCUAAAGGGAACGGCUUGAAACCAGUAUUGCGUGUAAUAGAUCAGCCGUCCAUAUGGGCGGUGCACUCUAUUGCAUGCGGGUCAGCAUCGGUUUGAUUUGGGUUAUAAAGCUGUCGACAGGUAGCUCCUCGGAGUGUUAUAGUCUUCAGUCAUGCCCCGGAUUAGACCGAGGAACGCAGCCUUGUUACGGGGGAACCUUCCGCCUCGGAUGUCGCACUGUCAAACAACUUGUUGAUUGCUGGUGUUAAGUCUGCGCACGGUUGGCUACCACUUCUGGGCUUAGGAUGCUGACGAAAUGGUUUUAAACCACCCGUCUUGAAACACGGACCAAGGAGUCCAACACAUAUGCGAGUCUUUGGGUGGCAAACCCACGGGCGUAAUGAAAGUGAAAGGGUACCAACUUCGGUGCAGUACCGACCGGUCUGGAUUUUUAUGAUGGAUCUGAGUAUGAGCAUAUGUGCUGGGACCCGAAAGAUGGUGAACUAUGCCUGGAUAGGGUGAAGCCAGAGGAAACUCUGGUGGAGGCUCGCAGCGGUUCUGACGUGCAAAUCGAUCGUCAAAUCUGGGUAUAGGGGCGAAAGACUAAUCAACCUNNAA